UUGAUCCUGGCUCAGAGUGAACGCUAGCGGCGUGGUUAAGACAUGCAAGUCGAACGAUGAAGCCCAGCUUGCUGGGCGGAUUAGUGGCAUACGGGUGCGUAACACGUGAGCAACCUGCCUUGAAGUGGGGAAUAGCCCGGGGAAACCCGGAUUAAUACCGCAUGUGGUCUCUUUUCGCAUGAAAAGACGACUAAAGUUUGUAAUGACUCUUCAAGAGGGGCUCGCGGCCUAUCAGCUUGUUGGUGAGGUAAAGGCUCACCAAGGCAAAGACGGGUAGCUGGUCUGAGAGGAUGAUCAGCCACACUGGAACUGAGAUACGGUCCAGACACCUACGGGUGGCAGCAGUUUCGAAUCAUUCACAAUGGGGGAAACCCUGAUGGUGCAACGCCGCGUGGAGGAUGACGGCCUUCGGGUUGUAAACUCCUGUCACCAAGGAACAAACGGCAGGUUCAUAGCCUGUCCUGAGUUAACUUGGAGAGGAAGAGGUGGCUAACUCCGUGCCAGCAGCCGCGGUAAUACGGAGACCUCGAGCGUUACUCGGAUUCACUGGGCGUAAAGAGUAUGUAGGCUGUUUGGUAUGUCAGGUGUGAAAGCCCGAAGCUCAACUUCGGAAUUGCGCCUGAAACUACCGGACUUGAGGCCUGGAGAGGGGAGUGGAAUUCCUGGUGUAGCGGUGAAAUGCGUAGAUAUCAGGAGGAACACCAAUGGCGAAGGCAGCUCCCUGGACAGGUUCUGACGCUGAGAUACGAAAGCGUGGGUAGCGAAAGGGAUUAGAUACCCCUGUAGUCCACGCCGUAAACGUUGUACACUAGGUUUCGGAGGGCCUACCCCUUCGGAGCUCAAGCUAACGCGAUAAGUGUACCGCCUGAGGACUAUGGCCGCAAGGCUAAAACUCAAAGGAAUUGACGGGGGCCCGCACAAGCGGUGGAGCAUGUGGCUUAAUUCGAUGCAACGCGAAGAACCUUACCUAGGCUUGACUUGAACCGGACGAAUUCGGAAACGGAUUCUCCUUCGGGG
RNAcentral lists this ribosomal RNA (1017 nucleotides) under uncultured organism. Its description in RNAcentral is "bacterial SSU rRNA". It matches the Rfam family "Bacterial small subunit ribosomal RNA", at positions 13 to 1025 of the family's 1533-position model. The record is from RNAcentral.